CAGUCGCCACGGGAAUACGUAGGGUGCAAGCGUUAUCCGGAAUUAUUGGGCGUAAAGAGCUCGUAGGCGGUUUGUCGCGUCUGCUGUGAAAACUGGAGGCUCAACCUCCAGCCUGCAGUGGGUACGGGCAGACUAGAGUGCGGUAGGGGAGAUUGGAAUUCCUGGUGUAGCGGUGGAAUGCGCAGAUAUCAGGAGGAACACCGAUGGCGAAGGCAGAUCUCUGGGCCGUAACUGACGCUGAGGAGCGAAAGCAUGGGGAGCGAACAGGAUUAGAGCCCCAGUAGUCCCUGUCUCUUAUACA
This 301-nucleotide ribosomal RNA is filed under the name uncultured bacterium. RNAcentral describes it as "partial 16S ribosomal RNA". It matches the Rfam family "Bacterial small subunit ribosomal RNA", at positions 509 to 808 of the family's 1533-position model. The record is from RNAcentral.